RNAcentral lists this ribosomal RNA (360 nucleotides) under Triticum aestivum (bread wheat). RNAcentral describes it as "partial small subunit ribosomal RNA". Lineage: Eukaryota; Viridiplantae; Streptophyta; Magnoliopsida; Poales; Poaceae. The record is from RNAcentral.
AUGGGCGCGGCUACAGAGGAGGCGGAGGAGAAGGCGGACGUCGUGCGCUUGCUACACGGCUACAACCGAGGCGGAGGAGAAGGCGGAUGCCAUGGCCUUGCUGCGCUCAUGGGCGUUCUUGAGGAUGUGCCAUCCUUCUUCCGUGAUGCUGCUGCAUGCCAGGAUUCGCAGUGGCACCGCCGCAACCAGCAAGGACACAAGAUCACGAGGAUUGUUGCCGCUUCCGAGGACAUGGGAGCUGCCAUAGCCAGCGAGUACGUGAGCACACACAGUCACCAUCACUUAAGAGGAUGCGAGAGCCAUCUCAGCUUGAGAGGAUGCGCAUACCAUCUCCGGUGUGUGCAACAAGUGUUCUUCUAA